RNAcentral lists this ribosomal RNA (383 nucleotides) under uncultured bacterium. RNAcentral describes it as "bacterial SSU rRNA". It matches the Rfam family "Bacterial small subunit ribosomal RNA", at positions 495 to 874 of the family's 1533-position model. The record is from RNAcentral.
UAGUAUCAGCGUGUCAGCAGCCGCGGUAAUACGAAGGGUGCAAGCGUUACUCGGAAUCACUGGGCGUAAAGCGUGCGUAGGCGGUUCGUUAAGUCUGCUGUGAAAGCCCUGGGCUCAACCUGGGAACUGCAGUGGAUACUGGCGGGCUAGAGUGUGAUAGUAGGAUGGUGGAAUUCCCGGUGUAGCGGUGAAAUGCGUAGAGAUCGGGAGAACACCAGUGGCGAAGGCGGCCAUCUGGAUCAACACUGACGCUGAGGCACGAAAGCGUGGGGAGCAAACAGGAUUAGAUACCCUGGUAGUCCACGCCCUAAACGAUGCGAACUGGAUCGUUGGGAGCAACUUGGCUCUCAGUAUCGAAGCUAACGCGGUUAAGUUCGCCGCCU